AACGAGGCCGACCUGCGGCUGAGUUACCUGCGGAAGGAUCAUUAAUAAAUGUUACUUCGGUAACUUAAUUAAUCCCUAACACCUGUGCAUCUUGUCGCUUCGGCGUCAUUUUAUAAACAUCAGUGUAAUGAAUGUAACGUAUUAUAACAAAUACAACUUUCAACAAUGGAUCU
RNAcentral lists this unclassified non-coding RNA (173 nucleotides) under soil metagenome. RNAcentral describes it as "partial contains 5.8S ribosomal RNA, internal transcribed spacer 2, and large subunit ribosomal RNA". The record is from RNAcentral.